GGUUAUCGUGUCCAGGGCCCUACUCAAGCAUCAGAAGAUGAGGAUUAUAGGGGUGAUGAGCCACAGCCAGAGCAUCUGCCUCCUCAGCCACAGCUUCCCCUUCCUCAGGCAGAGCCUCCUCUUCCUCAGCCUGGCCGCUUGUCUAGACAACGCACUUCUGCUCCCCUCCCUCGGCCACGGUCUUCAUCGGACACUGAGUCCCCUGUAAAGAGCCCUCAACCCAAAAGAA
Coregonus clupeaformis (lake whitefish) is the source of this 229-nucleotide long non-coding RNA. RefSeq lists it as uncharacterized. NCBI's taxonomy places the organism in Eukaryota, Metazoa, Chordata, Actinopteri, Salmoniformes, Salmonidae. The record is from RefSeq and is a predicted model, not a curated record. The transcript is spliced from 2 exons.